GCGUGAGUGAAGAAGGCCUUCGGGUUGUAAAGCUCUUUUGGCGGGGACGAUGAUGACGGUACCCGCAGAAUAAGCCCCGGCUAACUUCGUGCCAGCAGCCGCGGUAAGACGAAGGGGGCUAGCGUUGUUCGGAAUUACUGGGCGUAAAGGGCGCGUAGGCGGUCUUGUCAGUCAGGCGUGAAAGCCCUGGGCUCAACCUGGGAGGUGCGCUUGAUACUGCAAGGCUUGAGUGCAGGAGAGGAUGGUGGAAUUCCCAGUGUAGAGGUGAAAUUCGU
This 275-nucleotide ribosomal RNA is filed under the name uncultured bacterium. RNAcentral's name for it is "partial 16S ribosomal RNA". It matches the Rfam family "Bacterial small subunit ribosomal RNA", at positions 399 to 691 of the family's 1533-position model. The record is from RNAcentral.